Molecule: long non-coding RNA, 114 nt
Organism: Amphimedon queenslandica
Lineage: Eukaryota; Metazoa; Porifera; Demospongiae; Haplosclerida; Niphatidae
Exons: 2
Source: RefSeq, a predicted model, not a curated record
CGAGUCAGUGACUACGUUGCUUCAGUUCUUGGGGACUACUUUUGUGAUGAAACUAGUGAGACAGACUAUGAAGCAGUAGAAGAUAUGGAAGGAGAGGUAGAGAAAGGGAAAGAA